GUGCUCACUUCAGCAGCACAUAGAUUAAAAUUGGAACAAUACAGAGAAGACCAGUAUGCCCCUUGUGCAAGGAUGACAUGCAAAUUUGGGAAGUGAUUCCUUUUUUU
Molecule: small nuclear RNA, 107 nt
Organism: Camelus dromedarius (Arabian camel)
Lineage: Eukaryota; Metazoa; Chordata; Mammalia; Artiodactyla; Camelidae
Source: Ensembl